GGAGAUGGAGAAGGGAUGUUCGUAGAGCACACACGAGAGUUGCAAUAAACUACGCUGGGUUAGCUACUACUCCUGCACAAUUGAGAUACGAAGAGAUGUCUAAGGAAUUUGCGCAUGUGGCAGACCUUGCUACAGACGACAAAGUGCGGUCAUGUGCAAUAAUGGAAUGGAUAAAAUGUCAAUGUGAAGAUAUGAUGAACACAAAAUUUGGUGGUGGUAGUAAUCCCAUAUUGUAGCGUAUCACUCAGGUGUCCAAUGAUUGUGUGGAUGUAUCAAAAUCUACAAUUGAAAGAAUACUUGAUCCAAAAUUGGCUCAACGAAAGGGUGCACCCAGGAAACUUAGAAAAAAAAAGCUCAUUGGAGACGAUAUCGAAAAAAGUGAAGGUAUGCUCGAAUGUGCGAUUUAUAUUUGCAAUUGUUUAAAUUGAAAACUAAGCGAUUAACUGUGAAUGUAAUCUGGCGGGACAUCAACCACAAAUAUGCCACCAAGAAAUAGCAAUACGAAUACGGCUGACGACGCAAUGAACUUUCAGUCAGCUCAGCAAUAUUCCAUGUUGACCCCAACGUCGUACUUGCACAAUGACGUGUUGACACCAUUAUCCUUGUCACAACUAUCCAUGUAGACACCGUUCUUCCUUUCGAAAAAUUUACGAUUUGCAAAUUUGGUCCCUCCAGCAGUAGUUAAUGUUAUGCAAAAUUCGC
This 702-nucleotide long non-coding RNA is filed under the name Olea europaea subsp. europaea. Lineage: Eukaryota; Viridiplantae; Streptophyta; Magnoliopsida; Lamiales; Oleaceae. The record is from RNAcentral.